RNAcentral lists this ribosomal RNA (218 nucleotides) under uncultured bacterium. Its description in RNAcentral is "partial 16S ribosomal RNA". It matches the Rfam family "Bacterial small subunit ribosomal RNA", at positions 99 to 334 of the family's 1533-position model. The record is from RNAcentral.
CGCACGGGUGCGUAACGCGUGGGAAUCUGCCCUCUGGUACGGAAUAACUCAGGGAAACUUGAGCUAAUACCGUAUAAUGACUCCGGUCCAAAGAUUUAUCGCCUGAGGAUGAGCCCGCGUAGGAUUAGCUAGUUGGUGAGGUAAAAGCUCACCAAGGCGACGAUCCUUAGCUGGUCUGAGAGGAUGAUCAGCCACACUGGAACUGAGACACGGUCCAG